Molecule: ribosomal RNA, 426 nt
Filed under: uncultured Pseudomonadaceae bacterium
Lineage: Bacteria; Pseudomonadati; Pseudomonadota; Gammaproteobacteria; Pseudomonadales; Pseudomonadaceae
Description: bacterial SSU rRNA
Rfam family: Bacterial small subunit ribosomal RNA
Source: RNAcentral
GGGGAAUAUUGGACAAUGGGCGAAAGCCUGAUCCAGCCAUGCCGCGUGUGUGAAGAAGGUCUUCGGGUUGUAAAGCUCUUUCGGACGGAAAGAAAUCGCCGCCUCUAACAUAGACGGUGGAUGACGGUACCGUAAGAAGAAGCACCGGCUAACUUCGUGCCAGCAGCCGCGGUAAUACGAAGGGUGCAAGCGUUAAUCGGAAUUACUGGGCGUAAAGCGCGCGUAGGUGGUUCGUUAAGUUGGAUGUGAAAGCCCCGGGCUCAACCUGGGAACUGCAUCCAAAACUGGCGAGCUAGAGUACGGUAGAGGGUGGUGGAAUUUCCUGUGUAGCGGUGAAAUGCGUAGAUAUAGGAAGGAACACCAGUGGCGAAGGCGACCACCUGGACUGAUACUGACACUGAGGUGCGAAAGCGUGGGGAGCAAACA